GACGAACGCUGGCGGCGUGCUUAACACAUGCAAGUCGAACGGAAAGGCCCUGCUUUUGUGGGGUGCUCGAGUGGCGAACGGGUGAGUAACACGUGAGUAACCUGCACUUGACUUUGGGGUAACUUCAGGAAACUGGGGCUCAUACCGGAUAGGAGCUCCUGCUGCAUGGUGGGGGUUGGAAAGUUACGGCGGUUGGGGCUGGACUCGCGGCUUAUCAGCUUGUUGGUGGGGUAGUGGCUUACCAAGGCUUUGACGGGUAGCCGGCCUGAGAGGGUGACCGGCCACAAGGGUACUGAGGUACGGCCCAGUCUCCUACGGGAGGCAGCAGUGGGGAAUAUUGCAGAAUGGGCGGAAGCCUGAUGCAGCAACGCCGCGUGCGGGAUGACGGCCUUCGGGUUGUAAACCGCUUUCGCCUGUGACGAAGCGUGAGUGACGGUAAUGGGUAAAGAAGCACCGGCUAACUACGUG
Molecule: ribosomal RNA, 468 nt
Filed under: uncultured bacterium
Lineage: Bacteria
Description: partial 16S ribosomal RNA
Rfam family: Bacterial small subunit ribosomal RNA
Source: RNAcentral